GCAAACUUGGUCAUUUAGAGGAAGUAAAAGUCGUAACAAGGUUUCCGUAGGUGAACCUGCGGAAGGAUCAUUAUUAAAAAGUUAAUCCCUUUAAAAAGGAUUCUUUCCUUUGUGAUUUACUGAACAGUUUUGAAUUUGGGCUUUAAAAGAUGUCUCUCUUUCGAGGGACGGCCCAAACUUCUUUACAAAAACCACUCUUUUUCUAUUAUCUUGACUGAAAAUUGAUAAAAAAAAAAUUGAAACAACUUUCAACAACGGAUCUCUUGGUUCUCGCAUCGAUGAAGAACGCAGC
Molecule: unclassified non-coding RNA, 292 nt
Filed under: uncultured fungus
Lineage: Eukaryota; Fungi
Description: partial contains small subunit ribosomal RNA, internal transcribed spacer 1, and 5.8S ribosomal RNA
Rfam family: Eukaryotic small subunit ribosomal RNA (bases 1-73)
Source: RNAcentral